Molecule: RNase P RNA, 432 nt
Filed under: Rhodobiaceae bacterium
Lineage: Bacteria; Pseudomonadati; Pseudomonadota; Alphaproteobacteria; Hyphomicrobiales; Rhodobiaceae
Description: RNase P RNA component class A
Rfam family: Bacterial RNase P class A
About the family: Ribonuclease P (RNase P) is a ubiquitous endoribonuclease, found in archaea, bacteria and eukarya as well as chloroplasts and mitochondria. Its best characterised activity is the generation of mature 5'-ends of tRNAs by cleaving the 5'-leader elements of precursor-tRNAs.
Source: RNAcentral
UCAGGUGGCCGGGCGGCUGCUCCGUUUGUUCGGCGCGUAUUUGCCGGCGGAGAGGAAAGUCCGGGCUCCAUGGAAACACGGUGCCGGGUAACGCCCGGCGGGAGCGAUCCCAGGGAAAGUGCCACAGAAAGCAAACCGCCGUUCAUCGCCCAUCCGGUUCGCCGGAUGCGGGUGUGAGCGGCAAGGGUGAAAGGGUGCGGUAAGAGCGCACCGCGCGCCUGGCAACAGGGGCGGUCACGGCAAACCCCACCGGGAGCAAGACCGAAUAGGGAUGGCGCGGAGCUUCGUGCCCCAGGCCUGUUUCCAGGCUGCCGUCCGGGUUGGUUGCAUGAGGUGUCCGGCAACGGGCACCCAAGAUGAAUGGUCGCCUGUCCGGCGGUGCGUCCGCGUGCCGCCGGAUGACAGAACCCGGCUUACAGGCCAGCUGACAUC